Molecule: ribosomal RNA, 592 nt
Filed under: uncultured bacterium
Lineage: Bacteria
Description: partial 16S ribosomal RNA
Rfam family: Bacterial small subunit ribosomal RNA
Source: RNAcentral
UGGGGAAUCUUCCGCAAUGGACGAAAGUCUGACGGAGCAACGCCGCGUGAGUGAAGAAGGUUUUCGGAUCGUAAAACUCUGUCUUUUGGGGCGAACGUGAGUAUGGUGAACAAUCAUAGUCAGUGACGGUACCAAAGGAGGAAGCCACGGCUAACUACGUGCCAGCAGCCGCGGUAAUACGUAGGUGGCAAGCGUUGUCCGGAAUUAUUGGGCGUAAAGAGCGCGUAGGCGGGAUAGUCAGUCUGUUGUAAAGUGCGGGGCUCAACCCCGUGAUGGCAAUGGAAACAGCUAUUCUUGAGUGCAGGAGAGGAAAGUGGAAUUCCCAGUGUAGCGGUGAAAUGCGUAGAUAUUGGGAGGAACACCAGUGGCGAAGGCGACUUUCUGGACUGUGUCUGACGCUGAGGCGCGAAAGCCAGGGGAGCGAACGGGAUUAGAUACCCCCGGUAGUCCUGGCCGUAAACGAUGGGUACUAGGUGUGGGAGGUAUCGACCCCCUUUCCGUGCCGGAGUUAACGCAAUAAGUACCCCGCCUGGGGAGUACGGUCGCAAGACUGAAACUCAAAUGAAUUGACGGGGGUCAUAGCUGUUUCCUG